AUUCCCAAACUAGCAAACUGGAAUCACCUGAUUUGAAAGUGGGAAAACUUCUUCAUCCCAACUCCUAUGAGAUUUAUUCAACUUCCUGGUGAUUCUCCACCACUUUAUGUAUCCAAAUCAAGAUUCUUACAAAGUGAUUCAUCCUGGUUUGAUUGGAAUGAUGAAGAAGCUGUCCUAUUCCCAAACUGCAAAACUGGAAUCACCUGAUUUGAAAGUGGGAUAACUUCUUCAUCCCAACUCCUAUGCGAUUUAUUCAACUUCCUGGUAAUUCUCCAACACUUUAUGUAUCCAAAUCAAGCUUCUUACAAACUUAUUCAUCCUGGUUUGAUUGCAACGACUAAGAAGCUGUCCUAUUCCCAAACUGCGAAACUGGAAAUACCUGAUUUGAAAGUGGGAUAACUUCUUAAUCCCAGCUCCUAUGUGAUUUAUUCAACUUCCUGGUGGUUCUCCACCACUUUAUGUAUCCAAAUCAAGAUUCUUACAAAGUGAUUCAUCCUGGUUUGAUUGGAAUGAUGAAGAAGCUGUCCUAUUCCCAAACUGCAAAACUGGAAUCACCUGAUUUGAAAGUGGGAUAACUUCUUCAUCCCAACUCCUAUGCGGUUUAUUCAACUUCCUGGUAAUUCUCCAACACUCUAUGUAUCCAAAUCAAGCUUCUUACAAACUUAUUCAUCCUGGUUUGAUUGCAACGACUAAGAAGCUGUCCUAUUCCCAAACUGCGAAACUGGAAAUACCUGAUUUGAAAGUGGGAUAACUUCUUAAUCCCAGCUCCUAUGUGAUUUAUUCAACUUCCUGGUGGUUCUCCACCACUUUAUGUAUCCAAAUCAAGAUUCUUACAAAGUGAUUCAUCCUGGUUUGAUUGGAACGACGAAGAAGAUGUCCUAUUCUCUAACUGGAAAACUGGAAUCACCUGAUUUGAAAAUGGGAUAACUUCUUCAUCCCAACUCCUAUGAGAUUUAUUCAACUUCCUGGUGAUUCUCCAAUACUUUAUGUAUCCAAAUCAAGCUUCUUACAAAGUGAUUCAUCUUGGUUUGAUUGAAACGACUAAGAAGCUGUCCUAUUACCAAACUGCGAAACUGAUAUCACCUGAUUUGAAAGUUGGAUAACUUCUUCAUCCCAACUCCUAUGAGAUUUAUUCAACUUCCUGGUGAUUAUCCACCACUUUAUGUAUCCAAAUCAAUAUUCUUACAAAGUGAUUCAUCCUGGUUUGUUUGCAACGACUAAGAAGCUGUCCAAUUUUCAAACUGCAAAACUGGUGUCACCUUAUUUGAAAGUGGGAUAACUUCUUCAUCCCAACUCCUAUAAGAUUAAUUCAACCACCACUUUAUAUAUCCAAAUCAAGAUUCUUACAAAGUGAUUUAUCCUGGUUUGAUUGGAACGACGAAGAAGAUGUCAUAUUCCCAAACUGGGAAACUGGAAUCACCUGAUUUGAAAGUGGGAUAACUUCUUCAUCCCAGCUCUUAUGAGAUUUAUUCAACUUCCUCGUGAUUCUCCAACACUUUAUGAAUCUAAAUCAGGCUUCUUACAAAGUGAUUCAUCCUGGUUUGAUUGGAACGACGAAGAAGCUGUCCUAUUCCCAAACUGCGAAACUCGAAUCACCUGAUUUGAAAGUGGGAUAACUUCUUCAUCCCUGCUCCUAUGAGAUUUAUUCAACUUCCUGGUGAUUAUCCAACACUUUAUGUAUCCAAUUCAAGCUUCUUACAAAGUGAUUCAUCCUGGUUUGAUUGGAACGACGAAGAAGAUGUCCUAUUCCCAAACUAGCAAACUGGAAUCACCUGAUUUGAAAAAGUGGGAUAACUUCUUUAUCCUAAGUCCUAUGAGUUUUAUUCAAAUUCCUGGUGAUUCUCCACCAAUUUAUGUAUCCAAAUCAAGAUUCAUACAAAGUUGUUCAUCCUGGUUUGAUUGGAAUGAUGAAGAAGCUGUCCUAUUCCCAAACUGCAAAACUGGAAUAUCACCUGAUUUGAAAGUGGGAUAACUUCUUCAUCCCAACUCCUAUGCGAUUUAUUCAACUUCCUUGUUAUUCUCCAACACUUUAUGUAUCCAAAUCAAGCUUCUUACAAACUUAUUUAUCCUGGUUUGAUUGCAACGACUAAGAAGCUGUCCUAUUCCCAAACUGUGAAACUGGAAAUACCUGAUUUGAAUGUGGGAUAACUUUUUCAUCCCAGCUCCUAUGUGAUUUAUUCAACUUCCUGGUGGUUCUCCACCACUUUAUGUAUCCAAAUCAAGAUUCUUACUAAGUGAUUCAUCCUGGUUUGAUUGGAACGACGAAGAAGCUGUCCUAUUCCCAAACUGCGAAGCUGGAAUCACCUGAUUUGAAAGUGGGAUAACUUCUACAUCCCAGCUCUUAUGAGAUUUAUUCAACUUCCUAGUGAUUCUCCACCACUUUAUGUAUCCAAAUCAAGCUUGUUAGAAACUGUAUUCAACUUCCUAGUGAUUCUCCACCACUUUAUGUAUCCAAAUCAAGCUUCUUACAAAGUGAUUAAUCCUGGCUUGAUUGGAACGACAAAGAAGCUGUCCUAUUCCCAAACUGCGAAGCUGGAAUCACCUGAUUUGAAAGUGGGAUAACUUCUUCAUCCCAGCUCUUAUGAGAUUUAUUCAACUUCCUAGUGAUUCUCCAAAACUUUAUGUAUCUAAAUCAGGCUUCUUACAAAAUGAUUCAUCCUGGUUUGAUUGGAACAACGAAGAUACUGUCCUAUUCCCAAACUGUGAAACUGGAAUCACCUGAUUUGAAUGUGGGAUAACUUCUUCAUCCCUGCUCCUAUGAGAUUUAUUCAACUUCCUGGUGAUUAUCCAACACUUUAUGUAUCCAAAUCAAGCUUCUUACAAAGUGAUUCAUCCUGGUUUAAUUGGAACGACGAAGAAGAUGUCCUAUUCCCAAACUGGGAAACUAGAAUCACCUGAUUUGAAAGUGGGAUAACUUCUUCAUCCCAACUCCGUGGAAUCACUUGAUUUGAAAGUGGGAUAACUUCUUUAUCCUAAGUCCUAUGAGAUUUAUUCAAAUUCCUGGUGAUUCUUCACCAAUUUAUGUAUCCAAAUCAAGAUUCUUACAAAGUUAUUCAUCCUGGUUUGAUUGGAAUGAUGAAGAAGUUGUUCUAUUCUCAAACUGCAAAACUGGAAUCACCUGAUUUGAAAGUGGGGUAACUUCUUCAUCCCAACUCCUAUGCGGUUUAUUCAACUUCCUGGUAAUUCUCCAACACUUUAUGUAUCCAAAUCAAGCUUCUUACAAACUUAUUCAUCCUGGUUUGAUUGCAACGACUAAGAAGCUGUCCUAUUCCCAAACUGCGAAACUGGAAAUACCUGAUUUGAAAGUGGGAUAACUUCUUCAUCCCAGCUCCUAUGUGAUUUAUUCAACUUCCUGGUGGUUCUCCACCACUUUAUGUAUCCAAAUCAAGAUUCUUACAAAGUGAUUCAUCCUGGUUUGAUUGGAACGACGAAGAAGCUGUCCUAUUCCCAAACUGGGAAACUGCAAUCUCAUGAUUUAAAAGUGGGAUAACUUCUUCUUGCCAACUCCUAUGAGGUUUAUUCAAGUUCCUGGUGAUUCUCCACCACUUUAUGUAUCCAAAUCAAGAUUCUCACAAAGUGAUUCAUCCUUGUUUGAUUGGAACGAUGAAGAAGCUGUGCUAUUCCCAAACUAGGAAACUGGAAUCACCUUAUUUGAAAGUGGGAUAACUUCUUCAUCCCAACUCCUAUGAGAUUUAUUCAACUUGCUGGUGAUUCUCCACCACUUUAUGUAUCCAAUUCAAGCUUCUCACAAAGUGAUUCAUCCUGGUUUGAUUGGAACGACGAAGAAGCUGUCCUAUUCCCAAACUGGGAAACUGGAAUCACCUUAAUUGAAAGUGGGAUAACUUCUUCAUCCCAACUCCUAUGAGAUUUAUUCAACUUCCUGGUGAUUCUCCACCAUUUUAUGUAUCGAAAUCAAGCUUCUGACAAAGUGAUUCAUCCUGGUUUUAUUGGAACGACGAAGAAGCUGUUCCCAAACUGGGAAUCUGGAAUCACAUGAUUUGAAAGUGGGAUAACUUCUUCAUCCCAACUCUUAUGAGAUUUAUUCAACUUCCUGAUGAUUCUCCACCACUUUAUGUAUCCAAAUCAAACUUCUCAUAAAGUAUUUCAUCCUGGUUUGAUUGGAACGACGAAGAAGCUGUGAUAUUCCACAACUGGGAAACUGGAAUCACCUGAUUUGAAAGUGGGAUAACUUCUUCAUCCCAACUCCUAUGAGAUUUAUUCAACUUGCUGGUGAUUCUCCACCACUUUAUGUAUCCAAAUCAAGCUUCUGACAAAGUGAUUAAUCCUAUUUUGAUUGGAACGACGAAGAAGCUGUGCUAUUCACAAACUGGGAAACUGGAAUCACUUUAAUUGAAAGUGGGAUAACUUCUUCAUCCCAACUCCUAUGAGAUUUAUUCAACUUCCUGGUGAUUCUCGACCACUUUAUCAAUCCAAUUCAAGCUUCUCACAAAGUGAUUCAUCCUGGUUUGCAUGGAACGACGAAGAAGCUGUCCUAUUCCCAAACUGGGAAACUGGAAUCACCUUAUUUGAAAGUGGGAAAACUUCUUCAUCCCAACUCCUAUGAGCUUUAUUCAAGUUCCUGGUGAUUCUCCACCACUUUAUGUAUCCAAAUCAAGCUUCACACAAAGUGAUUCUUCCUGGUUUGAUUGGAACGGAAGAAGCCGUGCUAUUCCCAAACUGGGAAACUGGAAUCACAUGAUUUGAAAGUGGGAUAACUUCUUGUUGCCAACUCCUAUGAGGUUUAUUCAAGUUCCUGGUGAUUCUCAACCACUUUAUGUAUGCAAAUCAAGCUUCUCACAAAUUGAUUCAUCCUUGUUUGAUUGGAACGACGAAGAAGCUGUGCUAUUCCCAAACUGGGAAACUGGAUUCACCUGAUUUGAAAGUGGGAUAACUUGUUCAUCCCAACUACUAUGAGAUUUAUUCAACUUCCAGGUGAUUCUCCACCACUUUAUGUAUCCAAAUAAAGCUUCUCACAAAGUGAUUCAUCCUGGUUUGAUUGGAACAACGAAGAAGCUGUCUUAUUCCCAAACUGGGAAACUGGAAUCACCUGAUUUGAAAGUGGGAUAACUUCUUCAUCCCAACUCCUAUGAGAUUUAUUCAACUUCAUGGUGAUUCUCCACCACUUUAUGUAUCGAAAUCAAGCUUCUGACAAUGUGAUUCAUCCUGGUUUGAUUGGAACGACGAAGAAGAUGUGCUAUUCCCAAACUGGGAAUCUGGAAUCACAUGAUUUGAAAGUGGGAUAACUUUUUCUUGCCAACUCCUAUGAGGUUUAUUCAAGUUCCUGGUGAUUCUCCACCACUUUAUGUAUCCAAAUAAAGCUUCUGACAAAGUGAUUAAUCCUGGUUUGAUUGGAACGACGAAGAAGCUCUGCUAUUACCAAACUGGGAAACUGGAAUCACAUGAUUUGAAAGUUGGAUAACUUCUUCUUGCGAACUCCUAUGAGAUUUAUUCAACUUCCUGGUGAUUAUCCACCACUUUAUGUAUCCAAUUCAAGCUUCUCACAAAGUGAUUCAUCCUGGUUUGAUUGGAACGACGAAGAAGCUGUGCUAUUCCCAAACAGGGAAACUGGAAUCACAUGAUUUGAAAGUUGGAUAACUUCUUCUUGCGAACUCCUAUGAGAUUUAUUCAACUUGCUGGUGAUUCUCCACCACUUUAUGUAUCGAAAUCAAGCUUCUGACAAAGUGAUUCAUCUUGGUUUGAUUGGAACGACGAAGAAGCUGUGCUAUUCCCAAACUGGGAAACUGGAAUCACCUGAUUUCAAAGUGGGAUAACUUCUUCAUCCCAACUCCUAUGAGAUUUAUUCAACUUCCUGGUGAUUCUCCACCACUUUAUGUAUCCAAUUCAAGCUUCUCACAAAGUGACUCAUCCUGGUUUGAUUAGAACGACGAAGCUGUCCUAUUCCCAAACUGGGAAACUGGAAUCACUUUAAUUGAAAGUGGGAUAACUUCUUCAUCCCAACUCCUAUGAGAUUUAAUCAACUUCCUGGUGAUUCUCCACCACUUUAUGUAUCGAAAUCAAGCUUCUGACAAAGUGAUUAAUCCUAGUUUAAUUAGAAUGACGAGGAAGUUAUCAUAUUCCCAUACAGGAAAACUGGAAUCACCUGAUUUGAAAGUGGGAUAACUUCUUCGAAUCUGGAAUCACAUGAUUUGAAAGUGGGAUAACUUAUUCUUGCCAAUUCCUAUGAGGUUUAUUCAAGUUCCUGGUGAUUCUCCACCACUUUAUGUAUUCAAAUCAAGCUUCUCACAAAGUGAUUCAUCCUGGUUUGAUUGGAACGACGAAGAAGCUGUGCUAUUCCCAAACAGGGAAACUGGAAUCACAUGAUUUGAAAGUGGGAUAACUUCUUCUUGCCAACUCCUUUGAGGUUUAUUCAAGUUCCUGGUGAUUCUCCACCACUUUAUGUAUCGAAAUCAAGAUUCUCACAAAGUGAUUCAUCUUUGUUUGAUUGGAACGACGAAGAAGCUGUGCUAUUCCCAAACUGGGAAACUAGAAUCACCUGAUUUGAAAGUCGGAUAACUUCUUCAUCCUGAAGGACGAGGAAGUUAUCAUAUUCCCAAACAUGAAAACUAGAAUCACCUGAUUUGAAAGUGGGAUAACU
RNAcentral lists this long non-coding RNA (6595 nucleotides) under Brassica napus (rape). Its description in RNAcentral is "long non-coding RNA (BNAP_LNC004361)". The record is from RNAcentral. Lineage: Eukaryota; Viridiplantae; Streptophyta; Magnoliopsida; Brassicales; Brassicaceae.